RNAcentral lists this ribosomal RNA (249 nucleotides) under uncultured Rhodococcus sp. Its description in RNAcentral is "partial 16S ribosomal RNA". It matches the Rfam family "Bacterial small subunit ribosomal RNA", at positions 355 to 620 of the family's 1533-position model. Lineage: Bacteria; Bacillati; Actinomycetota; Actinomycetes; Mycobacteriales; Nocardiaceae. The record is from RNAcentral.
UGGGGAAUAUUGCACAAUGGGCGAAAGCCUGAUGCAGCGACGCCGCGUGAGGGAUGACGGCCUUCGGGGUGUAAACCUCUUUCAGCAGGGACGAAGCGCAAGUGACGGUACCUGCAGAAGAAGCACCGGCUAACUACGUGCCAGCAGCCGCGGUAAUACGUAGGGUGCACGCGUAGUACGGAAUUACUGGGCGUAAAGAGUUCGUAGUCGGUUUGUCGCGUAGGUGGUGUAUACCCGCAGCUAACAGGA